This 431-nucleotide ribosomal RNA is filed under the name uncultured bacterium. RNAcentral describes it as "partial 16S ribosomal RNA". It matches the Rfam family "Bacterial small subunit ribosomal RNA", at positions 338 to 795 of the family's 1533-position model. The record is from RNAcentral.
CCUACGGGAGGCUGCAGUGGGGAAUAUUGGACAAUGGGGGCAACCCUGAUCCAGCAACGCCGCGUGAAUGAAGAAGGCCUUAGGGUUGUAAAGUUCUUUUGUGGAGUCUGGAGUAUCGGAAGAAUAAGCACCGGCUAACUACGUGCCAGCAGCCGCGGUAAUACGUAGGGUGCGAGCGUUAAUCGGAAUUACUGGGCGUAAAGAGUGCGUAGGCGGAUCUACAAGUUAGAUGUGAAAUACCUGGGCUUAACCUGGGAGGUGCAUUUAAGACUGUAAGUCUAGAGUUAGUAAGAGGAUGGGAGAAUUCCGAGUGUAGCAGUGAAAUGCGUAGAGAUUCGGAGGAAUACCGGUGGCGAAGGCGCCCAUCUGGUAUAACUGACGCUGAGGCACGAAAGCGUGGGGAGCAAACAGGAUUAGAUACCCUUGUAGUC